This 898-nucleotide long non-coding RNA is filed under the name Nicotiana tabacum (common tobacco). RNAcentral's name for it is "long non-coding RNA (NTAB_LNC009953)". The record is from RNAcentral. Lineage: Eukaryota; Viridiplantae; Streptophyta; Magnoliopsida; Solanales; Solanaceae.
AAUGUACUGAGUAUGUAAGGCAAUAUACUGAAAGUUGAAACUGAACUAAUAAUAUAAUAAUUGUAAGUAGCUGGAAGUCAAAGAUAAUCUGAAGAUAUGCUUACCUGCUAAUACUGACUCAACUCUUUCAAUAUAGUAAGUACAAUAGUUGUUCGGCCCUGUAAGGCUUGCUCAUAGGCGCACGACCAUACUAGGCUUUGUAUAUCGACCAACUGGACUAGCUCAUAGGCGCUCGGCCAUAGUAGGAUUGGUAUGUAACUUACCAUCUGAUCAGAGAUUGUCCAAUAAGGGCCUGCCCAUCGAUUAUAACUUGAUGGUAAUGAAAAUACUUUAAUACUGUAUAUUUAAACACUCUGCUCUCUUGACCGGAAGAAGAAAAUACUCAAUUGAAUAUGAAGUCCCGAUAAGGAGAAUAUUGUAACUAACAAAACUAGGAAAAUAUACGUAAUUUGUGAGACUAGCAAAAUAUAUGUAAAUUCCGGGAUAUGAAUUUUUCCAUAUUCCUCGUUAUCAAACUUGUGUAAUGACGAGAUCAAGCAAAAUAAAAUAAGGGCUUAGCCUUAACAUACAUGCUCCUUGAAUUAUUUGCACGAAAUGAAGCUUCUGCUCCUUUGAACUUGAACAAAAUUGAUGCUUGGACUCUAUAAAAUUAGAACAAAAUUAUUUCUGCUUGUCUAGAUUUUGGGGCGUUAGUCCCUUUUGUCCAAAUCAAAAAGCUAGUCUACUGAACCAUCACGUUUUCUUGGAAUGAAUUGAAUAAAUUCAUAAUCUUGCUAUUGUUUGUCUUUGUAAUGGAAUGAAUUGGAAUGGAUUGGAAAGACUUGUAUUUGUAAUGGAAUGAGUUGGAAAGACUUGUAAUGGAAUGAAUUUGGAAAGACUUGGAAGAAAAUCACGUUUC